GAUGAAGAACGUAGCGAAAUGCGAUAAGUAAUGUGAAUUGCAGAAUUCAGUGGAUCAUCGAAUCUUUGAACGCAUCUUGCGCUCCUUGGUAUUCUGAGGAGCAUGCCUGUUUGAGUGUCAUUAAAUUCUCAACUACACUGACUUUGAAUUGGUGUGGCUUGGAUUUGGGGGGAAAAUUGUUGUGGGCUUUUUGUAUAGUCUGCUCCCCUGAAAUUGAUUAGCGGUACCUUUGUGGAACUGUCUACAGGUGUGAUAAUUAUCUACAUCUUAGACAUCUGCUGGAAUGCUGCUUUCUAAACCUUACUUGUAUUGACAAUCUUGACCUCAAAUCAGGUAGGACUACCCGCUGAACUUAAGCAUAUCAAUAAGCGGAGGA
Molecule: unclassified non-coding RNA, 376 nt
Filed under: soil metagenome
Description: partial contains 5.8S ribosomal RNA, internal transcribed spacer 2, and large subunit ribosomal RNA
Rfam family: 5.8S ribosomal RNA (bases 1-120)
Source: RNAcentral